AGAAUAUUAAUCAGCCAUGAGAAAUAAAGAAAUCCUGCCAUUUGCAACAACGUGAAUGAAUCUUGAGGGCAAUGUGCUAAAUGAGAAGUCCAACAGAAAAAGGCAAAUACUGUUUGAUACCACUUACAUAUGGAAAUAAAAAAAACAAACUUGUAGGAACAGAGUAGAAUCAUGGUUACCGUGGUUCCCAGGGGUGAAGUUAAGAAGGUAAACAAGUUCUGGAGAUCCAAUGUACAGCAUUGUAAUUAUAGUUAAAAAUAUUGUCUUAUAUACUUGAAAGUUACUAAGAACUUAAAUGUUCUCAUCGCAAAAAAAAAAAAAGUAACUGUGAUAUGCUGGAAGUGUUAAAGUGCUAUGGUAGUAAUCAUAUUGUAAUGUAUAUGUGCAUCAGAUCAUCACAUUGUACACCAUAAACUUACACAAUGCUAUAUGUCAGUUAACACCUCAAUAAAGCUGUGGGGGGGAGUGAUUCUCCCAAAUCUAUUAUGUUGGUAUCUCCCCUGCCAUUACUGCCACAGCACACAUACACUCCUUCUCUGCUUUGCUAUAGAUUUCAUAAAGAUUUACUGUUAUUCACAGGGAUUUAGGAAAGGUAAACAUGUGUCCUCAACAUUCUUGGAGCUAUACACCAUAUUUGUUACUUAAACUAAGUCAUCAAAAAAUUUUAAUGAAGAAGGUAUACAAAUGAAAAGCACAUGAAAAUAUGGUCACUCAUUAGUCAUUGGGGAAAUGCAAAUUAAAGCCACAAUUGGAUACCCAGUAGAAUGACUAAAAAAGACUGAGGAUACCAAGUAAUGGAGAGGAUGUGGAGCAAUUGUUAAUCUCAUUCAGUGUUGAUAGGAAUAUAAAAUGGUACAGGAAUAGAUUUGAUCCAUGUUUCUCACACAGAAACCUCUUCCUUAUACUAUGAAGCAGAAGGGAGAGGAUCAUCCUUGUGAUCCUCUAACUCCCAGUUAUCUGGAGUUAGAAUUGACAUUCAAAAAAUAGCACGUACUUAAUGUGUAGAUUGAGGAGUCUCAUAAAACAGUCACUAUAAUCAGGAUUAGGAUCAAAUCUAUCACCCUCCAAAGUUUCCUCUUUUCCCUUUGAAACUCCUCAUUCCCACCCUCUGCCCCAUUCAUCCACCCCAAUCUUCAGUUAACUACUGAUGUUUUCCAUAACUAUAUUUUAGUACGUGCUUUUUUUUUUUUUUUAACUGGCUUCUUUCACUGUUUUGGUGAAAAACAGUGUCCUUCCAUUUAAUUGCAGAGUUACUGCAUAGACAUGCCACAAUUUAUUCCCUUGUUGUUGACUUUUUUUGUUGUUUUCAGUUUCGGGGCAUUUGAAAUAAAGCAGCUAUGGAUAUUUUUGUACAAGUCUUUACAUGGACACAUACUUUCAUUUCUUUUGAAUAAAUUCCUAGGAGUAGAAUAGCUAGGUUGUAUGGCAAGUAUAUGUCUAACUUUAAAAGAAACUGUCAAACUACUUUUUAAAAGAGUUUGCUAGGACCGUAAAGCAUCACAUUGCUCUCUCCAAUGAACUCUCUUAACUUCAGAAAUUCAUAAUGGAUCUUGUAAGCAGCCUCAGCCAACCUACAAGGAGUCCAGAAAUUGUUUCAACAAGGCCCUUUAUGGCACAACGUCAGAAAUAGCAAUGUCAUGAGAACGUCAUUGUCAUAAGCAAUGUCAAUGAGAAUAUGGAGAAUGCUGUGGGAAGGCUGUACAUGGAAGCAGCACUUGAUGGAGAAAGUAAACAUAGGGUUGAGGAUUUGAUUACACAGACCCAUGAGGUUUUUUAUGCAGACUUCAGAUGACCUCACUAGGAUGGAUACCGAAAUGAAAAAGUAAGCUGAGGAAAAGGCCUUAGCCAUUAAAGGAAGAAUUAGCUAUCCUGAUGACAUUAUUUCAAAUGAUAAUAACUGAAUAAUGAAUACCUCAAGUUGGACUACAGGAAAGAUGAAUACUUUGAAAACAUAAUUCAAAAUUUGAAGUUCAGCCAAAACAAACAACUAAAGAAGCUCUGAGAAAAAGUGGACAAGCACAGAAGCUGUAAUCAAUGCAUUUUAUUCUUUAGGCAGAGAUCAGAUAGUCUUCCCAGCAGGCAUUCUGCAGCUCCCCUCCUUCAGUGCCCAGCAGUCUAACUCAUUGAACUACCGGGGUAUUGGCACAGUCAUAGGACACGAAAUCACCCAUGGCUUCUAUGACAAUGGCAGAAAUUGUAACAAGGAUGGAGACCUUGUUGACUGGUAGACUCAACAGUCAGCAAAUAAUUUUAAAGACCAAUCCCAUGCAUGGUGUACCAGUAUGGAAACUCUGGGACCUAGCGGGUGGACAGUAUCUCAAUGGAAUUAAUACAUGGGAGAAAAUAUUGCUGAUAAUGGAGGUAUUGGCCAAGCAUACAGAGCCUAUCAAAAUUAUGUUAAAAAGAAUG
Molecule: long non-coding RNA, 2409 nt
Organism: Mustela erminea (ermine)
Lineage: Eukaryota; Metazoa; Chordata; Mammalia; Carnivora; Mustelidae
Exons: 2
Source: RefSeq, a predicted model, not a curated record